Molecule: non-coding RNA, 84 nt
Organism: Toxorhynchites rutilus septentrionalis
Lineage: Eukaryota; Metazoa; Arthropoda; Insecta; Diptera; Culicidae
Source: the annotation of a RefSeq genome assembly
GUCAGGAUGGCCGAGCGAUCUAAAGGCGCCAGACUCAAGUUCUGGUGCUCUCUGAGGGCGUGGGUUCGAAUCCCGCUCCUGAUA